This 523-nucleotide long non-coding RNA is filed under the name Homo sapiens (human). RNAcentral describes it as "HSALNT0302230". The record is from RNAcentral. Lineage: Eukaryota; Metazoa; Chordata; Mammalia; Primates; Hominidae.
GCAACUCUCCUGCCUCAGCCUCCCGAGUAGCUGGGAUUACAGUGAACACUAGCUGCAGUUUUGUUUUCAUACCUGGACAGAGCAUAAAUCCUGCCAUGAACACAGCAAAGAUCAUUCAGAAAGUGAAGAGGAAGGAGAAACAACGGUUCAUGUUAAACUUGAGAUGCUAAUCUUGAAAUGCCACCCGUUCUCUUCUGAUUAGAUUACAUGCAGAAUAAAACAUGCAGGCAAUCUCAAACCUCUCCUCUCAGACGUUUCUGAUUCUUAUUGUGUGCCUCUCUGGGAAGAUACAGAUAGCAUCGAAUAAUCUCUCUGAGGGAAUUAGUUGCUGUUUCCUCUUUCCUGUUUUGAACAAAUUUUCUUUAAUGCAUUGUGUGAGUACACAUGUAGAACAUAUUCUUUGACAUCACAUAAAUAUUUACACAAUAUUUAAAACUCACUGUCAUGAAGUAUUUAUUUCACUUGCAAACAUUAUCAUCUAUUGUUCUAUGGAAAAUUACAAAAUAAAAGGCACGGCUGCUUU